This 278-nucleotide unclassified non-coding RNA is filed under the name Hevea brasiliensis (rubber tree). The record is from RNAcentral. Lineage: Eukaryota; Viridiplantae; Streptophyta; Magnoliopsida; Malpighiales; Euphorbiaceae.
GUGUUACAAAGAUCUAAGAAACAUGUACAUCUAAGUUAGUAUUACAGAGAAACUAGGAUAAAUUGAUUAUGAAAAGUAGGGGGGCCGGGGGAGUCGACAGUAGAGUCUCUCACGUCCAGAUCAAGUUUUUGUCGUGGCGUUUAUGUUCUCUUUUAUGUAAUACAAUCUCAUUUCUCCAGCUUUAACCAGAAGUCUUGUUUCAAUAUUUAUUAUCAAUGUCGUAAAACUCAAUAUUCUUGUACUUUUGGGAUAUGAUCUCCGCUUGUACUUUCCUUGCA